ACACCAAACAACUCAUUACACAAAGAGGUAAGGUCCCAGACCACGCCAAAGCUUCCUGAGACCUCUCCUCAUCUGUGCAUGGACGGAUGACCAACUCUGGGGCCCAGGCUGUUGCUUCCCAGUAUAAUGAUGAAUCCGCCAUAGUCUGGUGAGUGUAGAGGCUGACUCUGGAGCCCAGGCUGUACCUUCUCGGUCUGGUGAUGAAUCCUCAAUCGUGUGAAAGAAACACAUAAUAGUGUCUUAUGAACAGAAGCCACAGUGCCUUAUGAACAGAAGCCAUAUCUGUGUUCAGACACUGGCCAGAAAAGACGAUGGAGUCUCGCUCUGUCACCCAGGCUGGAGUGCAGUGCAGUGGUGCGAACUCGGCUCAUUGCUGGAUCUUACGUGUGAAGCACUCUCCCCACCCCGCUGGUCAUGUGAAGAUGUGCUUGCUUCCCUUUUGCCUUCAACCAUGGUUAACCAUACAUACACUGUCCUUCCUUCCAUGUACGUUCUUUGCACCUUUACAAAAGAUGAGUUCAUUCUAGUGUGGCCCUUGGAUGACAUACUUGGGCACUGGGGCUUGGGUAAACCUCAGCUUGGCAGACCUGACCUCAGGAUCCCCAGUGGUGCACGCUGGUGCUGGUUGUGGUAAGCCUGCCUGGGUCAGGUAAUUUCCAGGCUCAUUGUAGAAUGCUUAGGUGGGAGGAGCAGUGGUUGUGUUAUGGCUCUGCUGCUGGGGAGGGCAAGGUUGAUUUCAGUGACAGCAUCUAAAAACAGGCAGCUGAGGAGUGCAUGCUUGGACCCCUAGUGGCAGCUAAAAGCAAGGCAGCCUCUCCUCAGGGUGCUUUAAAAUAUGUGGUGGCCCUGCUACCAGGAGUCACUACCAAGGGUUCAUGCUUCAGCCCUGGGAGUAGCAGCCAGCAUUCUCUCUCAGGUAAUCUAUUCAAAUUGUGACCAUCUACAUUUAGAUAUCUUCUUUGUAAAGGGGGUAAGUAAUAGAUGCUUCUAGUCGCCCUUCUUAAAUCCCAUGUCAAGCCCAUUUUCAUUAAAAUUACUGAUAAGUAAGGAUUUACUAUUGCCAUUUUGUUAUCUGUUUUUUAUUUGUCUUGUGAUUGCUUUGUCCCUCGUAGCUUUUUUUGCUAUCUCAUUUUGUGUUUUGGUGCUUUUCCUUUUGCAUUACUAGGUUUUGAUUCUUGUAUUUUAUUUUCUUUGUGUAACUACAGUAACUAUUUUAUUUGUUGUUAUCAAGGGGCUUAAAUAAAUUAUAUUAUGGUUACAAGUUAACUUUAAGCUGAUAACAGCAUAACUUUUCUUGCAUUCAGACUUUGUUCUUUUACAUCUAUUUUACUUACAGUGUGUUCUGUUUAUGUCAGAAUUUUCAACUCUGUAUUGUGUGUAUCCACUAUAUAAUUUAGUUAUAGUUGUUUUAAUAUUUUUGUCUUUCGGCUUUUAUAGUAGGAUUACAAUAGAUUCAUUCACCACUUUUAUAACACUAAAUUUUUUUCAUCGAUAUUUUUUCAUUUGCCAACCAGUGUCACACUUUCUUUUGCUCUCAUGUUGCUGUUUUCUAUCUUGUCAUUUCAACUUGAUGAACUUCAUGUAGCACUUUUUGUAAGGCAGGUCUAGUGGUGAUAAAUUCCUUCAGCUGUUGUCUGUGAAAGUUUUUAUCUCUCCUUAAUUAAUAAAGAACAUGUUUGCUGGUACAGUAUUCUUGGUUGAUAGGGUUGUUUUUCUUCUGUCAGCACUUUGAAUAUAUUAUCUCACUUUUUUCUAACCUGUAUUAUUUCUACUGAAAAACCUGCAGAUCAUAUUAUGAAUCUUCCCUUGUGUUUAAUAGAUCACUUUUCUUUUGCUACUUUCAGAAUUAUCUUUUUGACUUUAAUUUUUCCCAAUUUUAUUAUAAUGUGUCUUAGUAUCAGUCACUUUGGAUUCAUCUUUGGAUUCCUGGACGUGAAUUUCUAUUUUUUUUUCAGGUUUGGACAGUUUCCAGCCAUAAUUUAUUUGAAUACUUUUUUCUGUUUUUUUCUUUUUCUCUUCUCUUCUUUUUCUGAGACUUGAAAUUGCUUAUAUUAGUGUACUUGAUGAUGUCUCGUAAGUCCCCUAGGCUUUCUUUACUUUUCAAAUUUUUUGCUCUCAGAUUAAAUGAUUUCUAAUAACCUGUUUUUGAGUUCACUGUUCCUUUCUUCUACUUGAUUUAAUCUGAUAUGGAAUUCCUCUAUUUAUUUUUAAGUUAUGUUAUUGUGUCCUUCAGCUGUUUGAGUUCUUUAUAUUUUUAUAUUACCUAUCCCUUUGUUGAAAUUAUUAGUUGGUUCAUGCUUUGCUCUUCUGAGUUCAGUAAGCAUAGCUAUAAGCAUUCUUUUGAAUUAUCUGUUGGGUAAAUUAUACCAUUGAUGGUUAAUACUGAGUGUCAAUUUGAUUGGAUUGAAGGAGGCAAAGUAUUGAUCCUGAGUGUGUCGGUGAGGGU
Molecule: long non-coding RNA, 2446 nt
Organism: Homo sapiens (human)
Lineage: Eukaryota; Metazoa; Chordata; Mammalia; Primates; Hominidae
Exons: 6
Source: RefSeq, a predicted model, not a curated record